RNAcentral lists this ribosomal RNA (399 nucleotides) under uncultured bacterium. Its description in RNAcentral is "bacterial SSU rRNA". It matches the Rfam family "Bacterial small subunit ribosomal RNA", at positions 362 to 776 of the family's 1533-position model. The record is from RNAcentral.
UAUUGGGCAAUGGGGGGAACCCUGACCCAGCGACGCCGCGUGAGGGAAGACGGCCUUCGGGUUGUAAACCUCUUUUGUACGGGAAGAAGGACGUGACGGUACCGUGCGAAUAAGUCCCGGCUAACUACGUGCCAGCAGCCGCGGUAAUACGUAGGGGACGAGCGUCGUCCGGAAUUACUGGGCGUAAAGGGCGCGCAGGCUGUAGAUCAAGUCAGCUGUGAAAUGUCUGGGCUUAACCCGGGCAUGCGGUUGAAACUGAUGUACUGGAGUGCUGUAGAGGCAAGUGGAAUUCCCAGUGUAGCGGUGAAAUGCGUAGAUAGUGGGAAGAACACCGGUGGCGAAGGCGACUUGCUGGGCAGCAACUGACGCUGAGGCGCGAAAGCCAGGGGAGCAAACGGG